GUAGUCUUAUUUUUCGCACUUUAAUUUUUCCUUACCGUGAAUAUAACUGUCUAGAUGUAUGCUAAUAGGAUUGCAUGUAAAGAUAAAUAAUCGAACUUAGAUAAAUUAAUUCAAGAUAAUAUAUCCGAAUCCAAUCAUUUCCACACUUGCACCUCUAGGGUAACCCUCUCUUUGUUGCCUUAUGAUAUUAUGGUCAUGUCCCGCGAAUGUGGGGAUACCCUUAGCAAAGACCCUUUCGAUUAAAU
This 245-nucleotide long non-coding RNA is filed under the name Lathyrus oleraceus (garden pea). RNAcentral describes it as "Pisum sativum (pea) long non-coding RNA (PSAT_LNC020409)". Lineage: Eukaryota; Viridiplantae; Streptophyta; Magnoliopsida; Fabales; Fabaceae. The record is from RNAcentral.